RNAcentral lists this ribosomal RNA (497 nucleotides) under uncultured bacterium. Its description in RNAcentral is "partial 16S ribosomal RNA". It matches the Rfam family "Bacterial small subunit ribosomal RNA", at positions 28 to 507 of the family's 1533-position model. The record is from RNAcentral.
GAUGAACGCUGGCGGCGUGCCUAAUACAUGCAAGUCGAGCGAACGGACUAGAAGCUUGCUUCUCUGAUGUUAGCGGCGGACGGGUGAGUAACACGUGGAUAACCUACCUAUAAGACUGGGAUCACUUCGGGAAACCGUAGCUAAUACCGGAUAAUAUUUUGAACCGCAUGGUUCAAAAAUGAAAGACGGUCUUGCUGUUACUUAUAGAUGGAUCCGCGCUGCAUUAGCUAGUUGGUAAGGUAACGGCUUACCAAGGCAACGAUUCAUAGCCGACCUGAGAGGGUGAUCGGCCACACUGGAACUGAGACACGGUCCAGACUCCUACGGGAGGCAGCAGUAGGGAAUCUUCCGCAAAGGGCGAAAGCCUGACGGAGCAACGCCGCGUGAGUGAUGAAGGUCUUCGGAUCGUAAAACUCUGUUAUUAGGGAAGAACAUAUGUGUAAGUAACUGUGCACAUCUUGACGGUACCUAAUCAGAAAGCCACGGCUAACUACGUG